GCCUACUUGACUCAGCGGCUAGAGUAUCGCUUUCAUACGGCGAGAGUCAUUGGUUCGAAUCCAAUAGUAGGUA
RNAcentral lists this transfer RNA (73 nucleotides) under Leptochilus decurrens. Its description in RNAcentral is "tRNA-Met". It matches the Rfam family "tRNA". Rfam says of the family: Transfer RNA (tRNA) molecules are approximately 80 nucleotides in length. Their secondary structure includes four short double-helical elements and three loops (D, anti-codon, and T loops). Further hydrogen bonds mediate the characteristic L-shaped molecular structure. tRNAs have two regions of fundamental functional importance: the anti-codon, which is responsible for specific mRNA codon recognition, and the 3' end, to which the tRNAs corresponding amino acid is attached (by aminoacyl-tRNA synthetases). tRNAs cope with the degeneracy of the genetic code in two manners: having more than one tRNA (with a specific anti-codon) for a particular amino acid; and 'wobble' base-pairing, i.e. permitting non-standard base-pairing at the 3rd anti-codon position. Lineage: Eukaryota; Viridiplantae; Streptophyta; Polypodiopsida; Polypodiales; Polypodiaceae. RNAcentral also lists the same sequence under 4 other names. The record is from RNAcentral.